GACGGAGAGUGCAAACGUUGUUCGGAUUUACUGGGCGUAGAGGGCACGUAGGCGGCCAGGCAACUCAGUUGUGGAAUCCCAACGCCUACCGUUGGAACGGCAAUUGAAAAUACCUGGCUCGAGGGCUGAAGGGGUCGCAGGAACUCUUGGUGGAGCGGUGAAAUGCGUAGAUAUCAAGAGGAACGCCGGAGGCGAAAGCGUGCGACUGGUCAGUCCCUGACGCUGAGGUGCGAAAGCUAGGGGAGCAAACAGG
RNAcentral lists this ribosomal RNA (253 nucleotides) under uncultured bacterium. RNAcentral describes it as "partial 16S ribosomal RNA". It matches the Rfam family "Bacterial small subunit ribosomal RNA", at positions 524 to 776 of the family's 1533-position model. The record is from RNAcentral.